CUACGGGAGGCAGCAGUGGGGAAUAUUGGACAAUGGGGGAAACCCUGAUCCAGCAAUGCCGCGUGCGUGAAGAAGGCCUGCGGGUUGUAAAGCACUUUCGGUUGGGAGGACUGCUUCUAGCACUAAUAUUGUUGGAAGUUGACGUUACCUUCAGAAGAAGCACCGGCUAACUCCGUGCCAGCAGCCGCGGUAAUACGGAGGGUGCAGGCGUUAAUCGGAAUUACUGGGCGUAAAGCGCGCGUAGGCGGCUAGAUCAGUCGGGUGUGAAAGCCCCGGGCUUAACCUGGGAACUGCAUCCGAUACUGUCUAGCUUGAGUACAGGAGAGGAGAGUGGAAUUCCACAUGUAGCGGUGAAAUGCGUAGAUAUGUGGAGGAACACCAAUGGCGAAGGCAGCUCUCUGGCCUGAUACUGACGCUGAGGUGCGAAAGCGUGGGGAGCAAACAGGAUUAGAUACCCCAGUAGUC
This 465-nucleotide ribosomal RNA is filed under the name uncultured bacterium. Its description in RNAcentral is "partial 16S ribosomal RNA". It matches the Rfam family "Bacterial small subunit ribosomal RNA", at positions 339 to 795 of the family's 1533-position model. The record is from RNAcentral.